UUGGAGGGCAAGUCUGGUGCCAGCAGCCGCGGUAAUUCCAGCUCCAAUAGCGUAUAUUAAAGUUGUUGCAGUUAAAAAGCUCGUAGUUGAAUUUUAGGCCUGACCGGGCGGUCCGUCUUUGGCGAGUACUGUCCUGUGUCGGGUCCACCUUCUGGUGAACCAGUAUGUCCUUUAUUGGGUGUGCCGGGGAGCCAGGACCAUUACCUUGAAAAAAUUAGAGUGUUUAAAGCAGGCAUUUGCUUGAAUAGAUUAGCAUGGAAUAAUAGAAUAGGACGUUGUGGUUCUAUUUUGUUGGUUUCUAGGACCACCGUAAUGAUUAAUAGGGAUAGUUGGGGGCAUUAGUAUUCAAUUGUCAGAGGUGAAACUCUUGGAUUUAUUGAAGACUAACUAUUGCGAAAGCAUUUGCCAAGGAUGUUUUCAUUAAUCAAGAACGAAAGUUAGGGGAUCGAAGACGAUCAGAUACCGUCGUAGUCUUAACCAUAAACUAUGCCGACUAGGAAUCGGGCGACGUUAUUUUCAUGACUCGCUCGGCGCCUUAUGGGAAACCAAAGUGUUUGGGUUC
Molecule: ribosomal RNA, 562 nt
Filed under: uncultured Glomeromycotina
Lineage: Eukaryota; Fungi; Glomeromycota
Description: SSU rRNA
Rfam family: Eukaryotic small subunit ribosomal RNA
Source: RNAcentral